Long non-coding RNA from Hypanus sabinus (Atlantic stingray), 3150 nucleotides. RefSeq lists it as uncharacterized. The record is from RefSeq and is a predicted model, not a curated record. The transcript has 3 exons. NCBI's taxonomy places the organism in Eukaryota, Metazoa, Chordata, Chondrichthyes, Myliobatiformes, Dasyatidae.
GCAGCCAAUGACAGCAGGGGUCAGUGUUACGUCUGAGCUACGAUAGGCUGGAGGAAAUCGGCCCAUGACCAGCCCCUCCUCUUCCGCUCCAUCGCCAUGGCGGAGAUCAGCGAGUCGCUUCUGUCGGUGUCGCCGGCCUCGGCGCCCACAAGGACGGUUGUGAUUCCCCUUUGCGCCUCGGUGGGUCUGUUUCGGGGACGUCUGUGGUGGCUGACGAAACAUGCUUUGACAGGGAGCGAGCGAGGGACAAUGACUACAACUCCCAGAAGGCCCCACUGAUGACGUUGUGGUGUUGUUCAGGGCUUUCCCACCACAGAUGUAAGGCUCAAUGGUCUAUAAUUAUCGGGACUAUCCCUACUACCCUUUUUGAACAAGGGGACAACAUUCGCCUCCCUCCAAUACUCCGGUACAAUUUCCGUGGACAAUGAGGACAUAAUGAUCUUCGCCAGAGGCUCAGCAAUCUAUUUCCUUUCCUUGGAUGCAGAACUGGGAAGCGCAGAUGGAGUUCAACACAGAUGAAGAGGUUCAUUUCUGCAGGUCAAAUUUGAACAAAGAAUAUAAUAUUAAUGGAUUAAUGGACCUGCACUUGAUUGGAAAUGAUAUGGUCAAACUCCUUAAAAGGUGUCAAUGGUGAGAUUUCCAGGCAUGUGGACAGAUAAUAAGCUGACAUUGAAGCACCGGAUCAGAAAAUAAUUGAUAAAUGUAAAGAAACAUUAAAUACUCUUCGUUAUCCCUGUGAGUAUUCUUGGGUGUGACAUGAAAAUAUUCAUUGACCAAUCUCGUUUGUUUAAUUGGAUCUGUUCUUGAUUAUGUUUGUGGUUUAUAGAUCACCUUCCUCUUCAACUUUAUGAUGUUUGGGUGUGAUUCAUUUCGUGCUUUAAGAUUGUGUUGUGGUUAAGUCAGGUCGUCCCCUGAUUCGGCUUUACUGGUUGAAAUGGAACAAUUGCCCUUCCAGGGACAGAGGUGGAAGUUGACGUUAACAAAUUGGAUUGAACAUCCUGUGCUAAAGGGUGGUGGGGAACAUCACAAGAAGAAUGCUUUUAUUUCUGGGUGGCUGGGUUCUUAUCACGCUGGGAAUAUGGGUGUAUUGGAUGAUACAAUAUGUUCCACUGUAGCUUUCUCGGUAACCCCACUUUGUUGUUUUUUCAAAUGACUGCAGUUAAUUUUAGGUUACACAAUUGGAUUCCAUUCUGCCUGAGCGUCUGUUGGUUCACGAGUAUAUUAAUGAAAGUUAUUAUCAUACGGUCAGCACUUUUUACAGAUGGAUUAAAACGUAAUUUAACUGGGAAUGUUGGUGUCUCUGUUCUCAUUUUUUGUGUGUGCCUGAGUUGCAGGCAAUGAUAAAGAAAUCACUUACCAGCCAUUUGUGGGUAUAUGGAGCAGAAUUCUUUGCUUUGAUUUUAGGGUUACAGUGUGUGGAGGAAAUUGGUCCUUGCAAACUUGUAAUUUGUUCAGAUUCUCUUUCGGUUUUGAUGAGCCUUAAAAUAGGACAUUCUAGCAGUAGGUCAGAUUGACUGUUGGAAACUCAUCAAGCAUUAUUUCAUAUACAAAGUUCGGUUCAUAUGUCUGCACCUUAUGGGCCCUGCACAUCGCACUGUUGAGGGAAAUGAUGGAGUUGACUGUUUAGCAACAAAACCUGUUAGAAGUUCAACUGAGGAUAUAGACAUUCCACUUCGCAAAUCAGAGGCUAAGGGGAUGGGAGGGUUAAGAAUUCAGGACUUAUGGCAAGAUCCGCAGUAAAAUUGACAUAAGGACUGACGCCUUUACAGAAUACAUAAACAAGUUGGGUUUUUGGAAGAAGGGCUUAAAACAGGAAGGGAAGGAAUGAUAUUGACACGACUUAAAAAUGCCAACACUAUGCUUAAUUAUGCCUUGUAUCUAAUUAGAAAACUUCAUUCUGUGUCACAGGACCAGAGAACACUACAGCACAGAACAGGUCCUUCAGCCCUCCAUGUUGUACCGACCCAUAUAAUCCUUAAAAGAAGUACUAAACCCACAGUACCCCAUAACCCUCUAAUUUUCUUUCAUCCAUGUGCCUGUCCAAGAGGUUCUUAAAUACCCCUAAUGUUUUAGCCUCCACCACCAACCAUGGCAAGUCAUUCCAGGCACUCACAACCCUCUGUGUAAAAAAACUUACCCCUGAUGUCUCCCCUAAACUUCCAUCCCUUAAUUUUGUACCUAUGUCCUCUGGUGUUUGUUAUUGGUGCCCUGGGGAACAGGUACUGACUAUCCACCCUAUCUAUGCCUCUCAUAAUCUUCUAGACCUCUAUCAAGUCCCCUCUCAUUCCUCUACGUUUCAAAGAAAAAGGUCCCAGCUCUGCUAACCUUGCUUCAUAUGACUGUCGUGUACAUUUUGUCAUUAUGAAUCUUUUAAGUGUGAAGCAGAUACAGGUGAAAAAAAUCAAAUGCAUUCAGUACCAUCUUGGAGGGGUUGAUAGUUUUCAGAUAAAAACUUUAUUAAGUUAAAGGACUGGCAUUAAAUUAAUUCACUGUAUUGAACAGGCAAAGGCAUAUUGGAAUGGAAACAUCCCAAUUGUUUUGGGACGUUACUCUGGGGAUGACGGCUUAACAGAGGUGGCUGACGGAUGUGGGAAUACCAGGAGAGACAUGUCCCACCAAAGAAGUUCUCCAAUGGCAGUGGUGGGAAUCCAUGGCUGACAAGGGAAGUUAACGACUGUGUUAACUCUAAGGAAAUGACAUAUAGGUAGCAAAGUUCAGUGGGAUGUUGGAUUAUUGGGAUGGUCUUAAAAUCCAACAAAAGGCAAUGAAAAAACCAUAAGAAUGGUCAAGAUGAAAUAUGAGGGCAAACUGGCCAAUAAUAUAAAUCAGGAUACUAAAAGUUUAGUUUUCAGUUACAUGAAGAGUGAAAGGGAGAUGAGAGUUGAUACUAGACCACUGGAAAAUGAUGCUGGUGAAGUAGUAAUGGGGGACAAAGAAAUGGCAGAUGAACUUAAUGAACAAUCUUCACUGUCUUUUCUGGUCAGCACCGCCACCACUUGUCCCAUUUAACCUGUUUCAGUUCGUGUGGACUGUAGCACCCGGGGGAGCUCAGGACCCUAUUCUAUUCUGUUGUUGGACGCGGUGAACGAGUUAAAAUUAAUGGAUCGAUAAUUCUCAUCUCAUGAUUAUUUCACUCUCCGCUCAUUUACA